This 2171-nucleotide long non-coding RNA is filed under the name Homo sapiens (human). Its description in RNAcentral is "HSALNT0194266". The record is from RNAcentral. Lineage: Eukaryota; Metazoa; Chordata; Mammalia; Primates; Hominidae.
AAACAAACAACAACAACAACAACAACCAAACCACAUGUCAGGCACUGUUUAAAAUGCUUUAUAUGCAUUAAAUCAUAUAAUCUCUCAACAGUUGUCUCAAGUAGGUACUAUUAUUUUCCUGAUUUUACAGAUGAGGAAACCAAAGCAGAGAGGCUAUACAGUAUUAGAUACUGGGCAAAACAUGGAAGCAGAGGGAACUACCCACCCACCUGGGCAUGCCAAAGACCACUAGUUAGGUAUGUUGUGUGGCUGAUUCUUCUACCUAUAACAUAGUUUUGAUUUGGACCUUAAAGAUUGGGCAGUUCCAUUAACUCAUUGCAUUGGAUAGAUUCAGAUAGGCUAUGCUACAGUGACAAGCAUUCCCCAAAUUUCCUAAGUUUGUUUCUUGGUUAUAUAAGCAGGUAGGUGCGGGUAACAAUCCAGGGUGCCUGUUCUCCAUGCAGUGACACACAAUCCAGGCUGCUUCAGUCCAUCUCGAGAGAAGGCCUCUACAUUUAUCAUGGCAGGGAAGGACAGAGGCUGAAGUGUCACAUGGAGGCUUCCACUGACUCAGCCUGGAAGUAACACACCUCACUUGUGCUCACUUUCAUUGGCCAAAGCUAGUCAUUAGUCAUGUGCCCCCACCCAAAGAAGGAGAGGAGAGCUGGGUAUUGAUGAGCACCAGUAAUGUUCACCAUACUCACUCAUUCAGUAAGUAAGUACCUUCCAGGCCAAACAGGCAAUGUGCUAGACUCUGGGUGUUUUAAUCCAUUCAGGCUGCUAUAACAAAAUACCACAGACGAGGUGGCUUAUACACAACAGAAAUUUAUUUCUCCCAGUUCUGGAGGCUGGAUGUCCAAGAUCAAGAUGCCAACAGAUUCAGUGUCUGGUAAGAGCCUACUUCCUGGCUCCUAGACGGUGCCUUCUCACUGUGUCCUCACGUGGUGGAAGGGGCAAAGGUCUCUCUGUGGCUGUUUUUAUAAGGGCACCAAUCCCAUCAUAACAGCCCAAUCCUCAUGACCUCGUCUAAACCUAAUCACCUCCCAAAGGCCCCACCUCCUCAUACCAUCACCUUGGGGGUUAAGUUUUCAGCAUAUGAAUUUUGAGGAAACACAAACAUUCAAAUCAUAGCACUGGGGAUAUAAAGAUAAAACCACAUGAAGCCCUUUCCCAAUCCUUAUUUAUUUUGAACUGAAUCUGUUUUCGCAGAGUGCUACACUGAAUAAUGGCCCCCAAAGACAUCCAUAUCCUAAUCUUUGAAACCUGCGAAUAUGUUACUGCCCAUGGUAAAAGAAAAUUUGCAGACAGGUUAUUAAGGAUCUUGAGAUGAGAAAACUAUCCUGGAUUAUCUGUAUGGGUCCAAGGUACAAAUCCUUAAAAGGAUGCAAGAGGAUCAAAUUAGUAGCAGAAGAUGGGGUGACAGAAGAAAGAGGUUGGAGAGAUGUAAGAAGGGGUCACAAGGCCAGCAACGUGGAUGGCCUCUGGAAGCUGGGUAAAGCAAGGGAAUGGAUUUUCCCCUGAGGUCUCCGGAGAGAACACAGCUCUGCCAACAUCUUGGUUAUAGACUUCUGACCUCUAGAACUCCCGCCUCGGAGGUCUCUCCAGGUAGGCUAAGGUGACUUAGAGGACCGCCAGCCCCUUCUGGUUCCAGAGCUCUUCAGAGAGGUCCAAGGCCAACUGGUUCCUCGAAACUGUGGGUUUACAUCGGGACUGCCCCAUCCUGGGCUCUGCCUGUCAAGAAUGCUGUCCUGGAUUAGGGCACAGGAGAAUGCGUUUUGUCAUUGAUCUGGAGGGAGGGAAGGCAUGUGGAGGAAUCAGCAUCUCAUUUCAAUGUGAGAGAAACUAAUGGAGGGAAGAGAAUUUUUUAAAGCUAGUGAGAACACACAUUCAUUUGACAACUUAGUUAAAAAGGACCGAUUCCUUGAAAAAUACAAAUGACUACAACUCACCCAAUGUGAACUAGAUAAUUUGAGUAUGCCUACAACUGUUAAGGAAAUCGAAUUUGCAAUUUUAAAACUCCCAAAAAAGAAGUCUCCAGAUCCAGAUGGUUUCACUGAAGAAUUCUACCAAAUGUUUAAAGAGGAAUUCACACCAUCUCUCUACAUUCUCUUUCAGAAAAUAGAAGAGGAGGGAACACUUUCCAAUUCAUUUUAUGAAGAUAGUAUUUCCCUGAUAUUAAAACCACAGAUAGG